AAGUCGUAACAAGGUUUCCGUAGGUGAACCUGCGGAAGGAUCAUUAACACGUAUCCAACGUUAAACCCCCCGUGAACCUUCAGUGCGCUCGCACUUUCUUAGAAAGGUAGACUUCUGCGUAGACUGUGCUUGAGCGUGAGGCAAGUGGCCUGGCAUUCCUCUGCUUGUUGGUGUCUGAAAGUGUCACCAGCUCUGUACGAAUGGCGCAGUCACGAUCGCUAGAGGCCGACACGGCCGGCGACCGGGUCACUGGGCGCGAGCCCCCCUCGUCACCUUUGCAUGAAAACGGGCCUGCGCUUAAUUGUGCGGCCACCAAACUCGAACAACUGUUAACAAUGGAUAUCUUGGUUCUC
Molecule: unclassified non-coding RNA, 353 nt
Filed under: fungal sp.
Lineage: Eukaryota; Fungi
Description: partial internal transcribed spacer region
Rfam family: Eukaryotic small subunit ribosomal RNA (bases 1-46)
Source: RNAcentral